This 562-nucleotide long non-coding RNA is filed under the name Mytilus galloprovincialis (Mediterranean mussel). Lineage: Eukaryota; Metazoa; Mollusca; Bivalvia; Mytilida; Mytilidae. The record is from RNAcentral.
GAGUUUUUAAAAUAUUUACCUAUAAUUGUCAUACUAUCAUUGACUAUUUACUUCAGAUUAUAGGGGAGAAUGGAGUAUUUUUUGCAGACGUGUCUAAUUCCCAUGUAGACAACAGCACCAAGUAUUUCAACAUUGACAAUGUAAUGGUACACUAUCUGACUCACGGAGACAAAAUAUUCCUUCAAAACAAAACCAUCAAGUUUUCUCCGACCAAGACCCAAAUGAAGGGGCAUGAGAAUUACGAUCAUGCGUUAACAACACAAGAUAUAUUUGGCGGGAACAGACGUCACCCGACACAGAAGUCUGAAUUUACAAGAGUCGCUACCAGUAUCUUUGAUUCUCGUUUGGAAACAAGCAGUUAUGGUGAUACUUAUGAAAAUAAUCCAAGAUUCAGAGUUACGAUGUCACGAGCAGUUGCUGGGGCUGAGGGAUUUGUCGAACGAAAACAUAGUUUUCACACAGAUAUUACGUCAUACAGAAAUCUAUAUGUGAAAAUAGACUUUUCGCCAUAAAUUAAGUCUGUUUGUUUGUUGCAUCUGAAUAAACACUGUAGAGCUCUGGA